CGAGAUGAGUUCUCCCUGACCCUUUAAGGGUCCUGAAGGAACGUUGAAGACGACGACGUUGAUAGGCCGGGUGUGUAAGCGCAGCGAUGCGUUGAGCUAACCGGUACUAAUGAACCGUGAGGCUUAACCUUACAACGCCGAAGGUGUUU
RNAcentral lists this ribosomal RNA (149 nucleotides) under Escherichia coli. RNAcentral's name for it is "partial 23S ribosomal RNA". The stretch from base 1 to 131 matches the Rfam family "Bacterial large subunit ribosomal RNA", at positions 2800 to 2925 of the family's 2925-position model. Lineage: Bacteria; Pseudomonadati; Pseudomonadota; Gammaproteobacteria; Enterobacterales; Enterobacteriaceae. The record is from RNAcentral.